UGGGGAAUUUUGGACAAUGGGCGCAAGCCUGAUCCAGCCAUGCCGCGUGCGGGAAGAAGGCCUUCGGGUUGUAAACCGCUUUUGUCAGGGAAGAAAUCUUCUGAGUUAAUACCUCGGGGAGGAUGACGGUACCUGAAGAAUAAGCACCGGCUAACUACGUGCCAGCAGCCGCGGUAAUACGUAGGGUGCAAGCGUUAAUCGGAAUUACUGGGCGUAAAGCGUGCGCAGGCGGUUUUGUAAGACAGAGGUGAAAUCCCCGGGCUCAACCUGGGAACUGCCUUUGUGACUGCAAGGCUUGAGUGCGGCAGAGGGGGAUGGAAUUCCGCGUGUAGCAGUGAAAUGCGUAGAUAUGCGGAGGAACACCGAUGGCGAAGGCAAUCCCCUGGGCCUGCACUGACGCUCAUGCACGAAAGCGUGGGGAGCAAACAGGAUUAGAUACCCUGGUAGUCCACGCCCUAAACGAUGUCAACUGGUUGUUGGGAAGGUUCCUUCUCAGUAACGUAGCUAACGCGUGAAGUUGACCGCCUGGGGAGUACGGCCGCAAGGUU
Molecule: ribosomal RNA, 548 nt
Filed under: uncultured bacterium
Lineage: Bacteria
Description: partial 16S ribosomal RNA
Rfam family: Bacterial small subunit ribosomal RNA
Source: RNAcentral